UACAGAGGUGGCAAGCGUUGUUCGGAAUUACUGGGCGUAAAGGGCGCGUAGGCGGUCUGUUGCGUCCGCUGUGAAAACUCGGGGCUUAACCCCGAGCCUGCAGUGGAUACGGGCAGACUAGAGGUAGGUAGGGGAGAAUGGAAUUCCCGGUGUAGCGGUGAAAUGCGCAGAUAUCGGGAGGAACACCGGUGGCGAAGGCGGUUCUCUGGGCCUUACCUGACGCUGAGGAGCGAAAGCGUGGGGAGCGAACAGG
This 253-nucleotide ribosomal RNA is filed under the name uncultured bacterium. RNAcentral describes it as "partial 16S ribosomal RNA". It matches the Rfam family "Bacterial small subunit ribosomal RNA", at positions 524 to 776 of the family's 1533-position model. The record is from RNAcentral.